AUGUGUGAUGCUAGUGAUUAUGUUGUUGGUGCUAUUCUAGGACAAAGAGUUGAUAAGAAAUUGAAUGUUAUUCAUUAUGCUAGUAAAACUCUAGAAAGUGCUCAAAUAAAUUAUGCUACUACUAAAAAAGAAUUCUUAGCAGUUGUGUUUGCUUGUGAUAAAUUUAGACCUUAUAUUGUUGAUUCCAAAGUAACUGUUCACACAGACCAUGCUGCUAUUAAAUAUCUUAUGGAAAAGAAAGAUGCUAAACCUAGACUUAUUCUUUGGGUUCUCUUGUUACAAGAAUUUGAUUUACAUAUCAUUGAUAGAAAAGGAGCUGAGAACCCUGUAGCUGAUAACUUGUCUAGGCUUGAAAAUGUGCUGGAUGACCCACAUCUUUAUAAAGAAGGAGUAGAUGGUAUUAUUAGACAUUGUGUACCUAAGCAUGAACAGGGACAAAUCCUACGGAAGUGUCACUCCGAAGCUUAUGGAGGGCAUCAUGCUGGAGAUAGAACUGCUCACAAGGUAUUGCAAUCCGGAUUUUAUUGGCCUACUCUCUUCAAGGAUGCCCGUAAGUUUGUCUCAUCUUGCGAUGAAUGUCAAAGAAUAGGUAAUACCGGUAAGCAACAAGAAAUGCCUAUGAAUUAUUCACUUGUUGUUGAACCAUUUGAUGUUUGGGGAUUUUAUUACAUGGGACCUUUUCCUUCCUCUAAUGGGUAUACACAUAUUUUGGUUGCUGUUGAUUAUGUUACUAAAUGGGUAGAAGUUAUUCCAACUAGUAGUGCUGAUCACAACACCUCUGUUAAAAUGCUUAAGUAA
RNAcentral lists this ribosomal RNA (798 nucleotides) under Triticum aestivum (bread wheat). RNAcentral describes it as "partial small subunit ribosomal RNA". The record is from RNAcentral. Lineage: Eukaryota; Viridiplantae; Streptophyta; Magnoliopsida; Poales; Poaceae.